RNAcentral lists this long non-coding RNA (20544 nucleotides) under Brachypodium distachyon (stiff brome). RNAcentral describes it as "long non-coding RNA (BDIS_LNC001891)". The stretch from base 17116 to 17188 matches the Rfam family "tRNA". Lineage: Eukaryota; Viridiplantae; Streptophyta; Magnoliopsida; Poales; Poaceae. The record is from RNAcentral.
CGCAUGGCCGCGGAGUCUGGAGGGCUUCCGGUGCCGCCGCCACCCUCGCGGCCGCGGCGCUCGUUCGGUGGCUCUGAGCGUGCGAGACUUCUUCAACCGUAAAUCUCGGUACACGAGGGGAUUACUGAAUUACGAGUAGUAGCAAUUUAGCAGCAGUAGGUUGACGAGUGGAUUUGUGAUUUCUUACUGCUAGUUUCGGUUGAUGCAUGUGUAAGUAUUACGAGUUCGCACGGUGAAUUUUUUUUAACGAUCUCACACGGUAUUCUGAGUAGUACUAGAAUUUGGUAGUAGUAGUUCUUGUUCAUAUGAUGUGAUUUUUGUUUGGUUGUGUGAUGCUGAUGCAGUUGAAGAAGAUGAGUAGUCAUUAUCCGGCAAUAGUAAAACUUUACUCAUAAUUGUACCUUUUACUUGUCUUUUCGUUCGAUUUUCUUUCCGGCCACGGCGAGGAUGUCUGGUGGUGGUAUGCUAUCACGCCAUCAGCCAUCAGGAUUCUUUCAUGUGCUAUAUCUGUAUGCAGUAUGCCUGUAGAUGAUGCCUUCGUGCGCUUACGGCUUACCCCCUCAGUAUCGGAGAAAUUCAACCAGGUCUGUUUCAGUUUGCGCCUUUUUGUGCGCGUGUGCAGAGUUCUCGUUGCGCCGUUGCGCAAGUAUUGACAAGAAAAUGCAUUCAAUACGAUCAAAGAGGCAAAGAAUGAGAUGCCUUUUGCAACAACUCAAACAAUUUGGAAACGAGAAAAGUAUUCUUCGUCCUCUAACUUACUAAAUAAAUACAUAUAAUGAAAAAAAAUGCACGUCUUCCAGCUGUAGAAAUCCGACACCGAUGGUUCAUCAUCCUCGGCAGAGCGGUCUGCGGCACUACUGCUAAUGUGACACUUUUUUGGUCUAGAAAUUGCAAUGUCGCCCGUCAAGCUGGCAUGCAGUUGACUAAUCAGUUAGAGUCACACAUUCUAACUUCUACGACUAAGCUCACUUCCUCAGUUCCUCUGUCCCUCUCGACCCAAAACAUAGUAGCUACUCCAAGAGAGCAAGAGACCCCUUCUGUCCCAACUUGAGCUGUUGGCUGCAACGCCGGCAACUUAGCUGCGGGCACAACAACGAUGACUCAGCAAUGGUUGCAACGACUGGGUCGUUGUUGUGACUCAAUGUGAGCGCAACAACUACGACAACCUUGGUGAUGACCGUCAGAGUUUGAGAUCGAUCAGCGAAUACUUGAUUCAAAAUUGUGUCGUCGAUCUGCAUGGCCACGACACUCAGCGCCGUUGUUAGCAUGUCGCGAACCAUUAGUCCCUUUUUUUUUGUCUCUCUGUUUCCAAAAACAGAAGCCGAAUCCUUCUCAACGUCGGCUAGUGCCCCAAUUCCGAGAUCGAACAGGUAUCCGGUUCCGACCUCCGAUCAAAGCAAUCCCAGUCGUUCAUCGAACACCAGAGCGUUCUCCCGGCCGCCGCACCCGCCAUCAUAUAUGCCCGCUGAACCAAUCUCAUCGAUCACAACAGCAACAGAUCCACAUCGCUUUCGCAAGGCGGUUUGCCCUCGCGCUUCUUCUGCUCCUCUUCGCGCUCGCGGCCGUCUUCAACGUUAACGCGGCCCGAUCCCUUCCGGGCCAGCAGCCAUCUGAGGCCGUGUCGACGGCGGGCCAGGGGCCGGCCCAGCUCCGCCAGCCCGCCAUGCUCCCGGAGGUUGAGCCGGUGCCUGCGUCUGCAUCGCCCCUUGUUCAGUUCGGCGAUAGCAUGACCGUUUACCAGGAGAUUCUCGAACAUUGCGGCGUGAAUCAGAAAUCCAACACGUUACCUAGUUUUGACGACGGACCGGCAAUCUGCAACAUGCGAUCGAAAAGGCCAGUGCGCACAGACUUGGUGUGAAUCUCGGCGGCGGAUCAGAGAAGGACGGGCCCCUGCUCAUCUGAUGUGUAAAGCUGCUAGUACAUCGCUCCAAGGCUUCGGCAAUACUAAUAGAACCCCGUUUUUUUUUGCAAGACAAUAGACUAGUAGUACAACCUUGUUUUCUGUAACGUGUGUAAAGAGCCUACAGGCUAGGGUCGGCUGAUAAUCAAAAGGGACAUUUUUAACGCUAUAUACAAGAAAAGAAAUCUGAUUCUGUAAAACAGCAAACAAAUAUAAAACUGAAAUUUGAACUUUAAAAAAGAAGAAGAGUCGUUUCCUUGUAAAGAAAUACAAACAAACCAGCCUAAAAAGAAUCCAUACAGAAGGCCUGCUAGGAAAAAGCCCCCCUAAAAAUCGAGAAAUAUAAGAAGGCCCACAUCAGCACAUAACCAAAACAAACAAAAUAAGGCCCAGAGAGGCCCAUUCAGUUUCACACAACACAAACAGCCUUCUUCUUUUUUGCGAGAAAAACACAAACAACCGUAUAGGAGUAAUUGAUGUAAAUCGGUUGAUCUUCCCACGAGUGAAACCCUAGCCGUCAGAGAAAAAAAACCCCGUUUCCAUCUUUGUUGGUUCCCCUUGCCUCUGAUAACCCAUCAGGAGGUGAGGGGAACCACGGAUCAACAUCUGGAAUCGUUUUUAGUACCUUCUUUGUAAGGUUUUCCGUGUCCUUGGUGGCGGCGUUCCAACAGUGGAGGCGGCGACGUGUGGAUUAUUGGUCUCCCAGCUCCAUCGAUCCCCGUUCUGGCAUGGCUAUCAUGGUCUACUCCAUGUAGUAUUGGGACUCACGGCUCGUAAUUUCAUGAUUUUGGUCAUCUUCCUUAACGUUUCAGCGAUGAUUCAAUGGUUCGACAACCUGUCUUGUGAGGGGCGUGUCUCCGGCCACCACGGUUCAACGAUAUUAAGUUGAUAAGUUCUCACCUGUUAGGAUGGGCGGCUCAUGCGGCUCAGUAAAACCUAUAAGGUUAGUCCAGAUUAUGUAGGUUUGGUCUUGUACUGUUUCGUCACCAUAGAUUUGGAAAAACAUCAAGAUGCGAUUGACGCAACUAGAGAAGUUGGGUUCAAAGAUUUUUGAUGUAAAGUUGUAAACCGAAAUCUUUGUUGUCGUUUUAGUUUUUCAAUCAAUUAUACUACGUUCGUUGAAUAAAUAAAGUCAGAUCGUUGUUCUAAAAAGAGAGUAAUGGAUGUCGAAUAAAUUAUAGAUAAUUAUAAAACUAAACGAAGAUAAUAUUUUCAAAAAAGAAGAAGAAGAAGAUAAGAUUUUAAAAAAAUAUCGGUUUCUUGGCUCCUGCCUUCCCAGAAGCGGCAAACAGACACCGACCGAUCGAGUCCCCAACCACACCCUCCACAUAUACUCCCUUCAUCCAACAAUAUGGGACGUAUUAGCUUUUCUUUAACCAAUGCUUUGACCACAAAUUAUUCUAUUAAUAUAUAAUUAUACCACAUAUAUUCAUAUCCAUUAUGUACCUACUCAAGAAUAUUUGCUUAUGGUUAUGAUUCUGAUCACAUUAGUCACACAUUCAUGAAAUAAUUUGUGAUCAAAUGCUUGGUUAACCCAAUCAUAAUAUACCUCCUGUGGCUGGACGGAGGUAGUAACACGCAACAAGCAGCCCCAAGAACCGGAAGGCGAUCGAGCUUGCGCGCGCAAGAGGUUUCCAAAUCCCAUCUGACCAGAACAACGACGCCAACGACAACGACCAUGAAAGGAGGAACAAAACUGAUAUGUGGGCUGCUGCUGGUGCUGCUCUGCGUGUCCGCCCGCCUCAAGGGUGGCUCCUGCGCCGGCGGUUUCGGCGUCGGAGGGGGCUUUGGCAUUGGUUUUGGUGCAGGGUACGGCCGGCCGGCUCCGGUCAUGGAGCCGGAGCCUGCCGGCGGGCCCGGGGCGGCCGCCGUCGUGGGCGGAGGCGCUACCGACGGCGGCACUACUGCGGUGGCUGCCGCGGGUGACGCUCGUGUCCGCGGUGGCGUCUAGAGAGCGUCCGGUGGCGCCGCUGCCCUUGCAGUCGCCGCGCUUGUCUGGCGCUAGCUGAUGGUGUGCGUGCGUGCGCCAAGCCAAGAUCGAUCUAUGUUCUACGGUAGACCAGUGAAUUUAGGAGUAGUUUUGUGGAUCGGUGGCUGCAUGUGUAAAUAUUACUCGAUCUUAGUCUAGAGCGGAGUUUUGAUCAGGAAUUCAGGUGCAGGGGUGGGCAUGAAAACUGAGAAACUGAAACGGAAACGGAAGCCGAUUGGACCGAAAUCGAAGAACCGUUUAAAACUUCGGUCAGCAAAAUCAAAGAACCGAAGUUUGUUCGGUUAAUUGGGUCUCUUGCCUCGGUUAAACAAAAAAACCCGAAGAACCGAAAUUCAUUGCUGCAUCUUUAAAAUUUAAUGUUGUCAUUGCAUGUUAGAUGAUAUUUACUGGCUGCUGCCAUUGCGUGUGUCUGUGUCACACAAGAUUAUGUGUUUAUUUUUGCGUGUAAUUUAAAUCUAUUUUCUGUUCUAAGUGGAAGAUUGAACUAAAUUUGUUUUCAUUUUUUGUUUGCCGUAAACACAAUGUUCGGUUAGUUCGGUUCCGAAUCGAAUUUUCUGUGAACCGAACUUUCGGUUAUCAAAAUUUUCAAGAUGACUUCGGUCCUCAUAUCAGAAGAACCGAAUUUCAUGAAAACCCGAAGAACCGAACCGAAAUUUCGGUUAUAACCGAACGCCCACCCCGAUUCAGGAGUAGUCUGUCCCAGCCUUUUGAUUUCUUUUAGAAAAGUCUGGCUUCAUUGAUUUUUGUUCUUCGACAACAUUUGGUACUGAGGUCUGGAUUACGAUAAUCCAGCUUUACCAACCAAUUUCUUUUUGGCUAUUUUCUAUUUGUCUGAUCAAUUCUUUCAUGUUUUUAUUUGCAUUUUUCACAGCAAGUUAUAAUUCAGCACAACACAAUUUAGCAAAGUCAAACUAAUGCUUAAUCAAGAAACAUAGCAUAGGAAAACUGAAACAAAAAACAAGAAACUAAUUGCUAGAUCUCUCUCCAUGUCACUUGUGAUGAAACUAUAAACGACCAGACCUGGACAAGUAAACUAACUUCGUAAGUUUCUAAUAACCACAUAAGAGCAACUCUAGCAGAUACCCAUAUGGCCGAUCCGAACUCCAUAUUAGGUUUUGGGCCAAAAAUCAGCACGGAACAGAUCCUCGAAAAAGGCCCGGACCGCAAAACGUGUUUCGGUUUACCCCAAAAACCAGCCCAGGGGCCGCCUAUAUGCCUACUCGAGAGGCGUACUCGAUGUCCACACCCCACUCUCUCGCCGCCCAAAUUCGCCACCAAACCCUACCCCGCCGCCAAAUCCGCUGCCCUUUCUCCUUCUUCUCCAACUCCAGCAACCUAGAUCCCGUCCCUUCCACCGCAAUGGUUAUAGAUAGCCAACUGGCCGGCCUGGCUCCGACCCAGUAUAUGCUAAACGUGAUUGGCCCGGGCACGGCCCGAUGAAGCCCUGGAAUAGAGAGGGGCCAGCCCGGCCCCUUAAUACGUCCUUCUGGCCCAGGCGCGGCACAAAGCUCCGUCGGGCCGGGCCGGGCCCGUUAAGGCCUGGCAGGGCCUGAGGAAGCCCAUCUCUGCAUAAGGCCCAUCUAAGAAAAUAAAUAAAUAAAGGGCUAGAAUGGGCCAAAAUUGUUGGGCUGGACCGGAAUUUUGAGGAUACAUGGGCCAAAUGUAGGAAAACUAUAAAAAAAAACAGGUCGUGAGGAUGAAGCCCAGGCUCGGCACAGGCGGGGCCUCAGGCCGGCCCGACCCAAUUAGUUUUGUGCCGGGCUUGGCACAAUCGGACCAAGCCCGCCAGGCUUUCGAGCUUUGCCAAAAGGCCCAUCCCGUUGGCCAUCUAUAGCAAUGAUGCACCCCAUAGCAUCCCGGGGGUCCGCUGGUCACCGUACCGCUUCUCCGCGCGGGCAGGAAAACCCUAGCGGCUGCUGCGGCGGAGGGGACGACUAUGAGGCGGUGCACCAUCGUUCCAUCAGGGUAGGGCGGCAUGCCGCCUGCAAAUGGGAUAAGCACCGCUUUACGAACCGUGAUGCUGAGCGCCGGUACUAGCAAUAUCUGGCGGAGGAAGCUGCGCGGGCGGCGGGGACUUGGGCCGGCCCCCGUGGCGGGGGCACGCCGCGUCAGGGGGAGGCCGAGUCCUCUCGUGCGGCCGUGCACCACCGCGCAUUUUCGCCCACUCGUCAAAGACGAGGAGGAUCUUCUCGUGCAAAGCUUUUUAAAAAAAAUUCAGUUCUUAGUUCGGUUUCUGUUCUGCACGACGUAUUUCUGAACUGCAUUUUCGGAUUCAGUUGAUCCGAACUCCCCUAGUUCGGAUCGGCCACAUGGGGUAUGUGUUAGAGUUGCUCUAAGUCGCUUGCCCCAAAAGAUGAGAACCUAUGAUCGUUGAACUUGCUGGAGACACACCGUUUGCAAGACAAGUUUGUAGAUUGUUGUUUCGUAGCCGAACCGACAAGGAAGAUAACCAAAAUAACGAAAGUAAAAAAACCUGGGGAUCCAACGUAUUGACUAGCCAGCAUGCCGAUAGAGCCAUGGGACCAUUAUUUCAUAUACCAUUGCCUCCACCACUAGGACGCUAUCGCGAGGACACAAUACCUCAUAAAAAAAUUAAACAGAUUAUUUGUCACACCUUGAUCCCUGGUUACUCUCAUUUUCCGAUUUCUAAUCGAUGGUUGACCACAAGGGAAGCCGACAAAAACCACAACUUCAACGAGGUUCUUUCCGGUGGCUAGGGUACGUUCCUCACGCCAUAAUCUCACAGCAAAGACUUGCUACGUGGCCUACGUAAUAUGUCUAAUGAAUCACUAAAAUUGAAUGGCUUGCUAAAAUCCUAGAUGAAACAUGAUAGCUAGUCUUUCAGCUAUUUUUCUUAAGAAAUGUCUAUUUCUCAGUCGCCUAAAAAUAGUUAUUUCCCGAUCAACAAUCAUGGCCAUUCAAUUAAUAUUUUCUUAUUAUUGGACCUACAUUAAUCUUACACGAAUCACACUGACUGAAUCAAAAUGUUGUUAUCAUCGACUAAGAAAUACUCCCUCCGUUACAUGAUUCUUGUCUCAAAUUUGCAAAAAAUAGAUGUAUCUAUUUUAAAAAAACGUCUAUAUACAUGUAAUAUUUCAACAACAAUUAUGAAACGGAAGGAGUAGUUAUUUCUCAGUCGCCUAAGAAAUAGAAAAACCGUUUUUCUUACUUCCAUUAGUAUUUGAAAUGGAAAGAUGGUUUCAAGCCGAUCAAUUUCUUUGAUCUUCUGUCCAGGUAGAGAUUUUUCAACGAAAAUUUACUUCAGAACGAUAAGCCUGACGCACGGAUACGUGUUCAAACUUUCUUUGGCGUAGAAUAUGCGAAGUUUGAACAAUUUGACUUCUCCGCACCGACAUAUCCGUGGCAGCAGAUCAGUUAUUGCCAACCACGAUCAGGCUAGCUCCCAACGUGCCGGCCGGAGACCCCGGAGCAAGUUACAGGCUUGCCGCUUGCCGUUGCAGAGCAGCCCCAAGCCCCCAACGACCCUCAAACCGCCUCCGCAUUGGGGCUAUCCAUCUGACCUGCGCCGCGAGGACGACGAAGGCGACCCAGGCAGGGAGACGACCAUGAGAGCAUCUUCAACUACGUACAGUAGACAUGCAUUCAGUAAUUUCAAGAAGGACCAUAUAUACUAUAGUACUCAUGAAUUAUUGUCAAGUAGAAAAAGAGAGAAAGUAGAAAAAAUGGUUUGCUUAUGGCAUGGCAUACAUCAGACCUGGAUUUGAGCCAACAUAAUCGAUUCUUGGAUGGUCGUUUCCAUAUACUCUGUUUAAUACUCCUGAACAUGGGGCUUGUAUUCUGCAGUUCACCUGCAAAUAAGGGUAUCCCAUACGUCCAGAACAAAAAGUGAUGCUAAGACUGAAAAAACACUUGUCAUAAUGGCUUCCAAAAUAUGACUCAUUCGGUCUUUACACAGGUUGUAGAAUUGAUUUACUUCUCUUCAAUUGUUGGCACUAGCAUUGACAGACUAUGCCUCUCCAAACACAGACAUAAUCCUUGUGAAGCCCAGUACGAACGCUAAGUAUUGAUAAAUCAAGAGGUGAUACAUAAUUAUGAGCAUGUACAAUACAACACCAUUAGCCAGACAAACAAUUGUAAAAAUUAAUCAAAAUUGGACAAAGAGAUUAUGCAUUCUUGUAGAUCCAUCAAACAAGCCCCAGCCUAAAGCAUUCACAUCCAGCACUAGAGGCACGGAAGCAACAUCAUAAUUCCUACGUCCCCUGCACUAUCUAAUUGACAGAUUGCAGUACCAAAUCAGAUAGAAUUUUGUACCGUUAGAAAUGCGCAUACCCGGCGCUCGGCGGGCAUAGAAAGCGGCUGGGAGCCGGAGGCACAGCUAGACGCCUCGGAGGAGCUGGAGGCGGAGGCGCAGCAAGCUUGCGAGCUGCACACCUCGGGCAAGCUGGCGAGCUGCGUCUGGGCUGGGGUGAAGGCGAAGCUUGUCGACGAGCUACACAUCUUGGGCGAGCUGGUGGCGGAAGCGCGGCAAGCCGGUGAGCUGAGUCCUAGUUGGGGGCGGAGGCGCAGCUUGUUGAAGAGCUGCACGUCUUGGGCGAGCUGGGGGCGGAGGCGCGGCAAGCCGGCGAGCUGAGUCCUAGUUGGGGGCGGAGGCGCAGCAAACCGGCGACUUCGAAGUGACUGAGUGAGUACUACAAAAAUGCUCGCACGAAUUAAACACCUGUUUAGGCUUCUCAGCAUUGAAGUAAAUUUAUUUUAGAUAGGUGCUUAGUGAUAUGGCAAGAUUCUCUCUCUUUAAGCACCUGUAUACGAGCACCUUGCAUUGCAUUGUAGAUGCUCCGAGAGAUGGGACGAAUUUCCUCGGCGCGCUGCUGCUGUUGAUUCUGCUUUGCGUGCCGCGCGCUUCCAAGGCGCCUGCUCCGCCCGAGGUGGAGGCGGAGGCGGGGGAAGGGGAGGAGGAGGGGGCGCGUUUUCCGGUGGAGGUGGGCGAGGGGGAGGCGACGCCAUUGCCGGCGGAGGGGGCGGCAGAGCUCGGAAGGGAGCCGGCGGUGCCAGUGCCGGUGGAGGGGGCGCGGGCGGCGGGAGGAGCACCGGCGGGUCGGGGAGCCAAGCGAAAGGAUCCACCGCCGGCGGGGCCGCCAUCGUGGGUGGCAACACUGCCGGCCUGCCGGGGGAUCACAAGGAGGACACUACGGCGCGGGAUCGCAACGAAGCAGCGGCGCCGCCUUGGGUGGCCCUCCGCAUGGCCGUAGCGUCUGGAUGGUAUCCGAAGGCGCCGUCGCUGCUCUUGCGGCCGCCGCGCUCGUGUGGCGCUGAUCGUCGAGUAGCCUGCGAAUCUGCGAUGCAUCAAGAAUUCAAGAGUCGAGAGUCGAGACUACUCUAAAAACCCUUCAUUUUCUGUUUAUCGACGUAUAUGAUGCGUAAGCACGUUCAACAUAAAAAUCAAUCGAGCCAUUGGUUGUACACCAUUGCUUCUUCCUGUUUGUAAUUAGUGUUCUUGUUAUUCUUUUUGGUGUAAGCCCUCGUCUGUUUUUAACGAAUGACGCGUAAGCAUGCAUGUUUCACAUAAAAACUUACCGUUUGUAAUUACUAGAAACUUACUGUUUGUAAUUAGUGUUCUUGUUAUUCUUUUUGGUGUAUAGGUAGUGCUCCUGCGAACACUGCUCGGAGUGUGACGUACCGGCUGGAGCAACUGCAGCCAUUGUGUUUUUUAGGUGAACAGAGCCAUUGUGUGUCUCUCGAUUGACUCGAUGGUUUCCGUGUACUUCACCUUCUGUCCAGGUUAACACAUCGGAUGACUGAGGAUGCGCGAUGGUACUCCCUCCGUUCAUAAAUAACUUGUUGCUGCGAACUGACCGGUGUUAUGUUUUCUUGUGGUGGAACCAGUCCACUCAGGUUCAAGUCACAUGGGUGUUCGCAUUUCCCUAGAUUUAUUUCAGAACCUAACCGGUGUUGUGUUUUCAGUGGGAGUGACGUACGGCACAUCAGUCUCUCGGAGGGUGCUCAUAGGGGUAGGGUGUGUGAGCGUCUGCGUCCAGUGGGAGUGACGUACGGCACAUCAGUCUCUCGGAGGGUGCUCAUAGGGGUAGGGUGUGUGAGCGUCUGCGUCUGUACUGUGUUUUCUAAAAAAAAAAAACUUAUUGCUGUUUUAUUUCAAGUUUGCACUAAAACAGCGACAAGUAUUUAGGAACGGAGUGAUUACUAUAUAAUGAUGUCUGCACACUGCACUUGCAUUCUGUAAUGCUACCUGUUUGCUAAACCCGACAGAGAUUGUGGAGGCUAGCAAUCAAGAUGUAUAAGUUGGGUGUAGCACUUGUCCCGUUCUCCGUGGUUUACACCCCAGAUGCAAUUGUUCCUCUCUUCAUGUCCCUUCCUCGCAUAAUUAGUGAUCCCAACAACGUUCCAUGUGUCGUAUUGUCUGGUGGAGCAAGGGAAACAAAUGCAUAUGUAACUAAUCAAAAGAUUACACUGACAGCUUGUUUGGCAACCAAGAAUUCAUUUCAUUUGAUCAAAAUGAAAUGAAAUCUAAUUUUUGAUAGGGUUUCAUUUGGUUGAAUUUGAAUUCUGGGUUGAAAAAUCAUGUUUGUCUACCACAUGAAAUUAAAGAGUGAGAGACAAUUCUAGAGAAAUGAUGGCUUUUAGAAAAGAAUUAAGGCUAGUUACACUGUGAUUAUAUGAAAUUUGAGAUUGAAUUUCUGUAACUAAUUCCGUGCCAACCAAACAAGUUGUUUUUAAAAUUUAAAAUGAAUUCUACAAUUUUAUGACUAAAUGAUGUGCGUCAAACAAGCUGUGAAAGAGUUUGCUAUAGAUUAAUGGAGACCCAAACUUUCUUAUAGCGAUUAAUGCAUGGCUGCUCCUGCUGCCAUAUCCAUGGGCGCCAUAGUCGUAGCAACUUCCACAGGAUCCGGCGCUCCUGCCUUCUGACCACUGGGACCACAUGAUAGGUUGGAUCUGCUGUAGCUAUCCACUUUUCAGGGGUCUGGCCUCUCUCCCGAUGGCAACUGUUCGAGGUAAUCUUAUUACUCUUAGAAUUAGAGACAGUAGAGUAGUUCAGUCCGGCAUGAACCAUUGUCCGUACUACUCCGGUUGAGUCAGUGAUGAAGCAUUGUCUAAAAAAUAUUAUCACCAGAAAAGGGCUAUCUCAAAACAAGGAACAGUUUUGUUUUGUGGGUACAGCUAGCCGACUCGCCAGGCGGAUAACAAUGAAGGGUAGCCAGCGGAUCCUUCCUUUAGUCAGGAAGAAACGAAGGACGACCAUCCAUCGACCAAUAGAGGCAAGGCACGUACAUGCAUCCAUGUGUACGGAAGAAGUGAUAACCUGAAGCACAUCGCUGACGAAGCUUAUAAUAAUCUUGCUUGCUUGCGCACCUAAACACAUACCAGCUGGGUAUAGUAGCUGGCAUAUUCUCAUACAGUAUUAUGCACGGAUCACUGACGACGUUUCCAUCGUUGAACUGGUAACCAUUUCUCAUUACUUGCACGCAAUCCAGGAAUGCAGGAUAUACUGAAUAUAGUCUGCAGCUACAGCCUACAGGAGACUAUCACAAAGUUCUAAAUUAGGCGACUUAAUUAGUGGAAACAACUCUUGGAUGGAAUCCACAUUGUUGUCGCUACUAGUGCAGGGGUUAACUGGCUAAGGUUGUUUGUUUCAGUAGCGUGUAAGUAAGGGACAUGGAGGCAGCUAUAUACCUUUUUAAAAGGGCAUGCAGCUAUAUUCUAGGUCCACGUUGUUGUUCUUUGACAGGACUAGCUCCACGUUGUUGAGAACCUGAAUCCUCGUUGCCUCCCUUGCUUUUGUUUUCCUCAUUUUUACUAAUUAUUCGGCUUGUACAGCCUGGCAUGUACAAAGGUACAGACAUCCAGCCAUCUAUAGUGUUUUACAUGAUUUACAGACAAUUUUACAGAUAUCAUAUACAGUAGUCUGUCUAUACGCUGUCUAAAAAGUCUGUACUAAAAAUUAUAGGCAACAGACAUACAAUGAUAAAUAAUCUGUUUAUAAAUUGUCAAUUAGAUUAUCUGUACAACUAAAGACAGACUGCUAUAUUUUCUCAAUCUCUUUCCUCCACCUCAGCAAAAGUACCUCUUAUAGACACCUAAAUCAGCCCCAUUGUACAUGCCCUAUCAAAUAGCUUUUCCUUUCCUUUCUCCUACAUGCCUAUUUUCCAUACUCUUUUUGAAGCAUGUAACAUUUUAAUGAAAAUGCAGAGCACUUGCUUGUCCGUUGAUGAGGGGCUACCUCGGCAAUACCCUGACUCAAGGGUUUUCGACUGAGGGAGAGCACGGGGUGCACCAGCGAUCUCGUCGACUAACAAAGACUAGGGGAGUCGCAAGGUUUACCCAGGUUCGGGGUCCUCGGAAGGUAAUACCCCUACGUCCUGCUUUUGGUGUAUUGUAUUGAUCGAGAUUACAGAGAAGCUAUGAAGCUAUGGUGCGCAGAUGAAUCUGGCGUUUGUCUAGAGGUUGGCCAUUCCCGAUCCCCCCUCCUAGCCUUAUAUACUGGCGGCUAGGUCUCGGGCGUGAUAAUCGGGAAUGUUACAAUCAGAUCAAUUCAUUACGGUAUGAUAAGAUUAUGUUUCUUGGCUUGAACCGCACUUUGAGGGACUCGACCUGCAUAUGCUUGAUGGGCCUUCGAGUGGGCCCCCUGUUGGGCUGCAUCGGGUAUAUGAAGGUUGAGAACUCGAGUCCCUGUUCGAGGCGUAGACUCGAGUAGGGACUCAAGAGUUUCCUUAUUCUGAUUAUUCGACUGUGUGCCAAACUGCAAAUAAUCUUCCGUUGGUCGAUUGACUUAAGUGUUCGUCAGGCCCAAACUUUGAUAGUUCUUAGCUUAUGACGCGGAAAACACAAGGUAUUUCUGCAAAUUGUACUGAUGUUGUGUGGGAUGGUUGCGUAACGCGCCUGGAAUACUCGAUCGGUCGAGUCCAGUUAAUUGCACCGGGGCAAAAACUUUGUUAGCAUACAUCAGCACUCGAGUCCCUAGGCUCGAGCCUGGAUAACUGGCGGUGUUCGAGUCAAACCUGCCGAGGGUUUUACAGACUCGAAAUCCAGUGCUGCGGGGCGAUCAACCAACGCGUCCGUUGGUUGAUGUUCUUCAUGCAAGCGCGUGGAUGAUCUGGAAUCGCCUGAAGGUGCUGAUUUCCAGGCCCGAUGAAAAACCAUCGGGUCUUACCUUCACGUAAUGAACGUGGCUUAGGGUGUGUUUCGCAGUCCGUGCGACCCGGAUAAUGCUGUCGAGUGCCUAUGUACCAGGUACACUUCGAGUUCCUGCGCCGUCAGGUGGCAGCCCAAGUUUUCUAGAGUUUGAUAUGACGUCUUUGCUGACACUCUGAUUAAAGAAAUGGUCUGGGAAGUCGAUGGGACGUACCUAAUGCUUUAUGCACGGACUGGAUCGAGUACUGUUGAUGUGGUCAGUUUGAUUUGACCACACGAUGUGCGCGAGAAUUUAGGCGCAUUGAUAGCUGUCGUGGGUUCUUGAACCGGUGGAAGGGGAAACGGCUCAUUUCUACUGGGACCACGCGUCUCUUUUCUUUAUGGCACAGAAGGAGGUGAGAUUAGGUUCCCCUUUUUUUUUUGCAUUUCUUAAUUUUGUAUUCUGCAUAUUACAACGAAUAUUUUUUUAUUCUUGCUUAUCUUACUUUUCCAAUUGUGCUAAGUCAUGCGCGCGAUACAAAGUUCGUGGUAGAGAACUUCUUUGAGUCAUCCUAUUUUUCUGUUCAUAUGAGGGAAAUUCAUAUGUGAUUUUCCAAAUAAGGGAAUCCAAAUGAAACCCUUUUUUUGCUCAGUCUAUCUGGACUACUUUUGUAUAAUAGGAAUUAAUUCGAAAUAGGUAUUCCGUUUCAUCUAGGAACAGAACGUAAAAAUUUUCCUUUACUUGAAUAAAAUCUGGAGUUGUGUUGUAUAAGUCCGCAUGAAUUUCUUAUCAUUCAAUGAGCAUCUUGUAUUUCAUAGAAAUUGGGGGUUAUAUAGUCCUUACGUAAGGGCCAGCCUACCCAACUUUCAGGCAUUAGGAUACGUUUAAGGCGCGGAUGAUUAUCAUAAGAGAUUCCCACCAUAUCAUAAGAUUCGCGUUCUUGAAAAUCGGCACUUCUCCAAAUCCAGAAGACAGACGGAAUUCUAGGAUUAUCCUUUUGGGCAAAGACUUUUAUGCAUACUUCUUCCGGGUUAUCUAUGCCAUACUGUAUUCACGUAAGAUGAUACACGCUAGCUAAAGAUCCACCGGGUGCUACAUCAUAAGCACAUUGGGAGAGUAAAUAAUUGUAACCAUAUACGUAUAAAAUGACAGCAAUGGAAUCCCAAUCCCCCGCUUUUAUUUGUAAAGUCUCUAUUCCUCGGUGAUCAAAGCCCAAAGAUCUAUGAACCACCUUAUGUUUGACUAGCCAAUUAGAUAACCAACCCUGCUGCAUUGUCUUGAUCUCUCCCUCUUUGUUUUGUAUAAAUAUUUCACAUUUCGGAUGCAAGUUUCAAAGAUUGCCUUGCUUUUUAUUUUUCUAGACGAAAGAACCCCCCUCCUAAUUCACUAAUUUGUAGGAAGGUACUAUACUUUUGGAUUUGUAAAUUUUUUCAGAAGAUAUAUCUAAAGUAGAUGGUGAUUGAUAGAGCAAUUCUUGCUCGUAAGUUCCAGUAUGAGUACUGCGCCGAACAUAAAGCUUGUGACUGGUAGUAAAACAUCGGUUUUUAUUUUGAGAUCGAAUUCGAUCCUCAACUAUUUCUCGCGAUAUCUUCUUACGAAGUUUUGUUAGGGCAUCUAUAACCGCCUCCGGUUUAGGUGGGCAACCCGGCAAGUAGACAUCCACAAGAAUUAACUUAUCAACUCCUCGAAUAGUACUAUAGGAAUCCGUACUGAACAUUCCCCCUGUAAUAGUACAAGCUCCCAUAGCAAUGACGUAUUUUGGUUCAGGCAUUUGCUCGUAUAACCUCACUAAAGAAGGAGCCAUUUUCAUUGUUACUGUACCAGCUGUUAAAAUUAGGUCCGCUUGCCUAGGACUUGAUCUUGGUACCAAUCCAUAACGAUCAAAGUCGAAUCGCGAGCCUAUUAAUGAAGCAAAUUCAAUGAAACAACAACUGGUACCGUAUAGAAGGGGCCAUAAACUGGAGAGUCUUGACCAAUUUGAAAGAUCGUUUGGUGUAGUUGAAAUAACAGAAUUGGAACUUGUUUGGUCAAGUAAAGGAAACUCAAUCAAACUCAUAACUGUCUCAAUGGAAUCUUUUUCUUCUUUUUUUUUUUCUAAAUAUUCAGUUAAGACAUUCCAAGGCUCCUUUUCGCCAUGCAUAAACUAAACCAACAACUAGGAUAAGCACGAAAAUGAAAGCUUCGAUAAAAACGGAUACACCCAAUACGUCGAAACUCAUUGCCCAAGGGUAGAGAAAGACGGUUUCCACAUCAAAAACAACAAAAACUAGCGCAAACAUGUAAUAGCGUAUUCGGAAUUGUAGCCAAGCCCCUCCCAUGGGUUCUAUACCCGAUUCAUAACUAGAAAGCUUUUCGGGUCCUUCACUAAUCGGGGCUAAAAGCCCUGAAAUCCAAAAUGCCAAAAUCGGAAUAAGGGUUGCUAUUAUUAGAAAUGUCCAAAAAAUAUCAUAUUCGUGAAGCAGAAACAUAAUGUACUCCCAUUAAUGUAGAAUAGACGAGACUUAAAUUAAUCAAUUCAAUUAUGCAUUGUCAAUUCAUCCAGAACUUAUCUCUUUUCCUCGGUGAAACAAGAAUCUGUUUUGUUCAAACAAAAUCGCUUAGUUUAGCCUUUGUUUUCUCUGUGCUGUGUCUUCUUUAAAGAUUCAUCCAAUGGAAUCCCAACUCCCCUUCUUUUUUCUCCAUUCUAUUUAGAUAUGGUCUAGAUCUAAUUCUUAUAUAAAAAAUACUUUAUCCCUUCACUUUAUUUUGCUUUCUCUAUAAUCUUUAGAACCUAAUUAACAUAAGAGGACUAGUCUAUGCAGUAGACUGAGAAGUAAUACUAUAAAAAAAUAAGGAACUCUAUUUCAGAACUAUGAGACAUAAUAUUCUGUUUUCUUAUUUACUCUUUACUUUAAUUCUUUCUAAAAAAAUUCUAUUUAGGAUUUUAAGUAGAUCGAUUUAGAUAAUGUAUAUAUAAGCAAAGUAAUAUACCUAAAACAAAGUAUAAAUUCGCAAGAUGGAGAAAAUCAUUGCAGUUUUAUAGGGAAGUCUAGAGAUACCCUAUUUGAAGAAGGGCGGGAUUCAAAUCAGGGAAGGGCUCUUUUCUUCUAUUGAUUUGAUAGAAAUCACUUUUUCGUUUCCUAUCUCUAUGAUUUUUGAUGAAUGAGCCUGUGGUAAUUCUUUUACGCCUAUUCUAUGUCGCAGGCGCCCGCCCAGUCUAUAAACAAGUACUAAUGUGAAAAUAAAAGCUAUACUAAGGAAAACAUAGGAUAUCUAUACUAAAAUCCAAAAAUAGGACAUAUUAGGGCUAUACGGAUUCGAACCGUAGACCUUCUCGGUAAAACAGAUCAAACAGAUUAUUAUCGAAAUGAUUCGAACUGUUUCAAAGACCCAAGAUGCAUUUUUUUUGCAUUGGGCUCUUUCAUCAACUGAUUUAAAGAUCAGUUAGUCCACCAUAGUUUUCUUUACGGAAAGAUAAUGAGAUGGCUCCCUGUGCUCUGAUUGAUUAUUUGUAUUAUGGUCUAUCUAGGAGCAAUACCAAAGUGUUUCAAAGGAGGAUUACCUUGACUUAGGUCUGCCUCCGGCCUAAAUUAAAUCAACCUAAGUGAAAUGGAGUCUCUAUCGUUCCACUGCAAGAGUUAACUAUGAGACUUCAUACACCUUAAAGUUCAUAGAACGAAAAGAAGUUUUUUGGAGGCCCUUAUCCUCAUUACGCCUAGCAUUUAGUGGGCUGGAUAUUUACCUUAUCAACUAGCAAAUCCAUAAGGGUUCUAUUUGAUUAGGCACCAGAAUGGGGACCUGAAUCGGACUGAACUGACUCUUUGUCAGGCUACUGUUCUCCUAUUCUGUCGAAUCUAUGAAGUAAGACAUUGAUUUUGCAAUAAGAUCCAUUAUAUUCAUUGCAUAAUAAGCUCCUUUGAAAAGCAUUGGCGCACGUGUAAACGAGUUGCUCUACCGAACUGAGCUAUAGCCCUUAUCAGAGAUAUCUUAACAUAUAGAUAAUUUAUUGUCAAGAUGAAUAUUCUCUAAUGCCAGAGGGUAUCUCUUUAAAUAUGUAUCUGUUUAGUAUAUAACAUACCAAUAAGGAAGCGUUAUUGCUUAGAAAAGGGAUUCGAUAUAUAAUCGAUCGAAGUAAUGGGUCUUCCUUUGUGAUCAUAAAUUGACUACUUAACUCAGUGGUUAGAGUAUUGCUUUCAUACGGCGGGAGUCAUUGGUUCAAAUCCAAUAGUAGGUAGGUAGGUAGAAAAAUUACUAGAUAGCAUUGGGCUUAUUUUGCUUCGCUAUCUAAUAACUUUUUCUACCCCUCUUCCCUUUAUCUUUGUAUCAACUAUAAACCAUUGGAUUGUCUUCAAUUGGACGGGGGAAUCCAAUUGACAGCCUUGAUUCGUAUCCUAGCUCGUCUGAGAGCUAGUUUCGCUUCAACCAAUUCUUUCGUACCCUCAGCUUUACUCAAGUUAUUUUCGGCUAUUUUAAGUGCCUGUUGAGCUUCUUCCGAAUCAAUAUCACUACCCAGUUCCGCAUCAUUUCCUAAAAUAAUGAUCUCAUUAUUAACUAUUCUCGCAAAACCACUCCACAGAACCGCCGUUAACCAUUGGUCGUUGAGGAGGCGUAUUCUCAAAGGACCCAUAUCUACUGCUGUGUUAAUGGGGGCAUGGUUUGGUAAUACCCCAAUUUGACCACUAUUAGUGGAUAAAAUGAUUUCUUUCACUUCACAAUCCCAAAUAAUUCGCUUAGGAGUCAGUACAUAAAGAUUUAAUUUCAUUUCUUCGAUUUGUUCUCCUCUUCUAAGGUUAUAGCUUUCGUGCUAGCUUCAUCGAUGUUACCCACCAAAUAAAAAGCCUGCUCGGGUAGGCCAUCUAAUUCUCCGGAAAGGAUUAGUUGAAAUCCCCUAAUUGUUUCUGCAAGACCAACAUACCUUCCUGCAGAACCAGUAAAAACUUCUGCUACAAAGAACGGUUGUGAUAAGAAACACUCAAUUUUUCGCGCUCUUGCUACAGUUAAACGAUCCUCCUCCGAUAAUUCAUCCAAUCCAAGAAUUGCGAUGAUGUCCUGAAGUUCCUUGUAACGUUGUAAAGUUUCCUUAACUCUUUGCGCAGUUUCAUAAUGUUCGUUGCCAACGAUCCGAGGCUGUAACAUAGUUGAGGUUGAAUCUAAAGGAUCUACUGCUGGAUAAAUACCCUUGGAAGCUAAUCCUCUGGAAAGUACGGUAGUAGCAUCCAAAUGGGCAAAUGUUGUGGCAGGAGCAGGGUCAGUCAAAUCGUCCGCAGGUACAUAAACCGCUUGGAUCGAAGUUAUAGAUCGCUUUUUAGUAGAAGCAAUUCUUUCUUGCAAAGAACCCAUUUCUGUACUAAGAGUAGGUUGAUAACCCACCGCGGAGGGCAUUCUCCCUAAUAAAGCGGAUACCUCCGAUCCUGCUUGAACAAAACGAAAGAUAUUAUCGAUGAAUAAAAGCACGUCUUGCUUAUUAACAUCUCGGAAAUAUUCCGCCAUAGUUAGGGCAGUUAAACCAACUCUCAUACGAGCUCCCGGUGGUUCAUUCAUUUGGCCAUAGACUAGAGCUACCUUUGAUUCCUCAAUAUUUUCAUUAAUUACUCCGGAUUCCCUCAUUUCCAUAUAAAGAUCAUUUCCUUCACGAGUCCGUUCCCCUACUCCACCAAAUACGGAUACACCCCCAUGAGCUUUAGCAAUGUUGUUGAUUAAUUCCAUGAUGAGUACUGUUUUACCUACUCCAGCCCCCCCAAAUAGUCCUAUUUUUCCUCCACGUCGAUAAGGAGCUAAAAGAUCAACGACCUUAAUACCUGUUUCAAAGAUGGAUAAUUUCGUAUCUAACUCGAUAAAGGCAGGCGCAGAUCUAUGAAUAGGGAACGUUGCACUACUGUCUACAGGACCCAAAUUGUCAACAGGCUCUCCAAGAACGUUGAAAAUUCGCCCGAGAGUAGCUCCGCUGACCGGAACACUGAGAGGAGCUCCUGUGUCAAUCACUUCCAUUCCUCUCAUCAACCCAUCUAUAGCACUCAUAGCUACAGCUCUAACUCGAUUAUUUCCUAAUAAUUGUUGUACCUCACAAGUCACAUUAAUUUGCUUAUCGGCAGUGUCUCUACUCUGGACUACCAAAGCAUUAUAAAUAUAAGGUAACUUACCGGGGGGAAAAGUGACGUCCAGCACGGGUCCAAUAAUUUGAUCGAUAUGGCCUGUACUUUUUUCUUCAAUUGGGGAAACCCCGGGACGAGAAGUAGUAGGAUUGGUUCUCAUAAUUAUCACAUAAUAAAAAAAAGGAAUUUGUCGAAAUUUUUCUUUUUUUCUUGUUGAAUAAUACCAAAUCCAAAAAAAUAUCCAAAAAUCCAAAAGUAAAAAGGAAAUCAAUUAGUUAAUUCAAUAAGAGAAAAAAGGGGAACAUGACUUGAUUUCGUUGCCCAAGCGAAUCCCUUUCAACCCUUUACUCAUGGAAUGAGGCCGUUGGAAAGUUCAAUCAAUCUUUUUUUCAUAAGAUAGAUUUUUCCUUUUGUGGAGGAUCUGUGCCUACUCUACUUUCCUAUCUAGGACUUCGCUAUACAAAAUAUAUACUACUGUGAAGCAUAGAUUGCUGUCAACAGAAAAUUUUCUUAGUAUUUAGUUAGGUAUUUCUUUUCAAAAUAAGAAAGGGGCCCUUUAAUAAUUUGUAAAAAACAAAGGUUAAGGAUUGAUUUGGGUUGCGCUCUAUCUAUCAAAGAGUAUACAAUAAUGAUGGAUUUGUUAAAUCAAAUCCUUGGUUUAAUAACGAACGGUGUUAACUUACCAUAACAACAACUCAAUUCCUAUAGUGAAAUUCCUAUAGGAUAGAACAUACACAGGGUGUACGCAUUAUAUAUGAAUGAAAAAUAUUAAUGAACUUAAGCAUGCCCUCAAUUUUCUGUAAUGAGUUGCUAUUAAUUGAAUAUCUCUUUUUUUUAUGAGAUUUUUGCUAAAGUUUCAUUUACGCCUAAUUCACAUCGAGUAGACCUUGUUAUUGUGAGAAUUCUUAAUUCAAGAGUUGUAAGGAGGGACUUAUGUCACCACAAACAGAAACUAAAGCAAGUGUUGGAUUUAAAGCUGGUGUUAAAGAUUAUAGAUUGACUUACUACACCCCGGAGUAUGAAACCAAGGAUACUGAUAUCUUGGCAGCAUUCCGAGUAUCUCCUCAACCUGGGGUUCCGCCCGAAGAAGCAGGGGCUGCGGUAGCUGCCGAAUCUUCUACUGGUACAUGGACAACUGUUUGGACUGAUGGACUUACUAGUCUUGAUCGUUACAAAGGACGAUGCUAUCACAUCGAGCCUGUUCCUGGGGAAGACAGUCAAUGGAUCUGUUAUGUAGCUUAUCCAUUAGAUCUAUUUGAAGAGGGUUCCGUUACUAACAUGUUUACUACCAUUGUAGGUAACGUAUUUGGUCUCAAAGCCCUACGUGCUCUACGUCUGGAGGAUCUAUGAAUUCCCCCUACUUAUUCAAAAACUUUCCAAGGCCCGCCUCACGGUAUCCAAGUGGAAAGAGAUGAGUUGAACAAGUAUGGUCGUCCUUUAUUGGGAUGUACUAUUAAGCCAAAAUUGGGAUUAUCUGCAAAAAAUUACAGUAGAGCAU